Molecule: long non-coding RNA, 3613 nt
Organism: Meriones unguiculatus (Mongolian gerbil)
Lineage: Eukaryota; Metazoa; Chordata; Mammalia; Rodentia; Muridae
Exons: 3
Source: RefSeq, a predicted model, not a curated record
GACAGGGGAAGGGUUCCACCCCGUUCUAAGACCAGAGGCAGGAGGGGUGCUGUAGAAGGAAAUUAGAUGCCGGGAUGGGAAGACUGAAAAGGAGGAGUUGGGGGUAAAUCUGAAAGAAACACAAGAGCGAGGUCCCUAAGGUUUGAAAGCAGUGCCAAGGAGCUCUAGACCACACCCAAGGUAGAGUGGGAGGGGCAUGUACUUUGGCUGCCUUGAAGGGUGAGCAGGAGCUAGUCCAGAGACCAUCUUCCGCAGGACUGAGGGGGUAGAGGAAUGCUGGGAGCCCCAGCCAGUGUGGAGAUGGGGACAGCCCAGGUUAGCUGACUGUAGUCCAUGCCCUGCCACCACCUAGGAAGCUGGGGGGACUUCCUGACAGGAGCACCAUGACCUGCCACGGCAUCUGUGCUGUCUGUGAAUGCAGCAAGAGCUUUAUCUGAAAUGAUCCUUUCCUCCCACUCACUUCUCCCCCUCCUUCCCUCCUCUCCUUUCCUUUCCCCCACCUCCCCAGCUCUAGCACCUGGCACAGAACUUCAUCCUAAAUACCAGGCCACAAACAUCAAGCUCCCACCAAACUCUGCCCCGUGAUCUGCUCUUUGACCCAGCCUCCCUCCUCUCCAGCCUCCCCUUCACCCAGCCUCCAUCUAGGUCUAAGGAUAGUCUUCUUCUCUUCCCCCUCCCUCCCCUCUCCCUCUUCCCCCUCCCCCUUCCUCCUUUCCCCUUCCCCUCCUCUCUGUCUGUCUCUCUUUUACACACACACACACACACACACACACACACACACACACACACCGUGCCUCAGCCCCUCCAGCAAGGGGGAAAGUGUUAAUCCAUUGGAGCAGAUUUCCAAAGCUACAUGGCACACCAACGCUAGCUCAUUUUGAUGAUAGGUCCUCAGUAAGCAUGCAAGCAGGUGAGGAGACCUAUUUAGGACCUCAGGGUGCACAACCCUGCAGUGGGGAAUCUGAUUAGCUCCACACGGGCUUCUGUUUUUACCACUCACUGGUCAUGAGUUCUCAGAGAAGGGGCACCCUGGAGUAAUGGCAUAGUGGUGAGACAGAAGCCUGGAUUUGUGUCAUAAUGCCACAUUAAGGCCAUCGAGAUUUCAACUAAACCCUUGACUUGAUGGCUACAGAUAGGCCCUCCCAAGGUACCAUCUAGAAUAAUCCAGCAGCCUUUUUGAUGUCAAGAGUGUCAGUCUAGAGUUCCUGGUGGUCAGAGCUGCGAACGCCCUGGAAACCUUCAGACCCAGACUCAGGCCUUCCUCAUUGUCCCAACACAGGCAGAGGUUCCAGGACAUUCACAGUGAAGGCCAUGAAAGGCCUUGCUCACGGUCCCAGCCCUGUUCCUAAUGGAGGUCUGCAUUUUCCUGGAAAGAGCGGGGUUGGGAGGCUAGAAAACUACAUUUCCCAGAUACCCUUACAGUGGGACUCUGGGUGGGUUCUGCCAAUCCAUGCAAGAUGAGGGAGUCAAAACAAGGAAAGGAGCCAUUCUUGUUUAAGAAGUAGCAUCAGAUGGGACUCCGGCUCUCCCCCUCCUCACUCAAGGACAGUGUCCAGCAGGUCUGAUGAUCUCCACAUAUCUUGAGAAAUCAGACAAGGACUUCUCCAGGGAGGUGGAAGUGUCCUUAUUCCAGAGUCCCUGGCCAAGUCACCAUGGUUAUAGCCUCAAAACACCUAUCGCAAGCAGGGAUUCCAAAAAAGACCAACCACAUCUAAAAAAUCAGAAAACCUUUCCUCAUGAGGUCUGGAGAGCCUGCUAUGCUAACAUCUGCCCCUCAGUCUUCAGGUCUCCGUGCUGUAUGGAGAGACAUGGAAGGAUGGGUUCUCAGGGCAGAUGGCGCUGACUGGUAGGAGCACUCACUGGCAGGAGCACCGAUGCAUCUCUGUGAUGGGUUACCCCCUGCUGACCCUCUGCAAUCAUGGAGGAAGCAGAAGUGACCGAGGACAGAUUCCAGCAGUCACUGAGCAGAGCCAGCUCCCUGAGUGAGAAGGACUGUGAUCCUUGGCUAUGGGGACUCCCAAGGUCUAGAUGCGUUUGCCAUCCUGGGCUGGAAAAAAACCACAGGCCAGGGCUUCAAAGGACUCCGAGGUUCUGCAUGUAGAAGAGUGGAGGCCGUGUUCCAGUCUAGUCACUUGUCUACUGGCCUAUGGCAUCCCUUCCCUUAAGGCAGUAACCCCACCUCAAAGGGCAGGAUGCUCUGAGAGAGUCUCCGUGUCCUGACCACGCCCCUCAGGUCCCCAGAGGCCUGCUAUGAGCUCCUGGAGGCAAGGGUUUCUCUCUAGCCUGCACAUCAGGGAGGAUUACCAACACAGGCACCCAGAACCCUCAGAGCAGAGAACGGGAAGGUUGGCACAGCAUGAUGGGAGCUUUUGGUGAGACUUGGUAGUCCAGAGAGGCUCUUGAAGAACAGACAGGCUACUGGUCCCGACUAAGAUGGUGGCACAUGUGUCAAGGACAAACAGAGAGAGCUACCAACAUCCCAGCCCCUGGAGAGGGGUCUACAAACACUGCUUGGGCAGGCAGAGUAAAUACUAGGGCUCCUAGUGUCAGUGGAGAUGGUACCCUGUACUGUGAAGUUACAGUUUCAUCAGAGCUGACUCAGAAGCCACCAUGACUGGACGGGAUACGCCGCCACGCCCACCACCUCCAUCACAUGCUCUAGAGAUCCACCUGCCGUCCUAAAACGGUUCUGAAAAAUACUGUCAUCCCUGGAGGAGUCCCCUGACAACCUGGCCCAGGGGACACUGCAACUCUGAGGAGGGCCCCAGGGACACUUCUCUUCUGCUUCCAGAAGCUGUCGGGUCUCUGACUCUGGAGUCCUCUUGCUGACAAAUGUAGGGAAAAGCACUUUGUAAAGCUCAAAGCCCGCGCCUGGCACACAGCAGAUGCUCUCUCUCGACAAACGUGUGCGGAAUGACGGAGCGGCCCUGAGAGAUCCCCGCAGACCGCACCGCACAGCACAAGCCACCGAUAUCAUUCUUACUGUGACUAAAUAAAGUCGUUAUCAGGGGUAUUAUGGGAAAUUCCAUAUUUCUCCCUAACGAGAUCUUUUUCUUCCGAGUUCUCAGCAGACAGAGCGGAGGGCCUGGCUCACAGUAGGCAUCAAUAAACGUUUGAUGGAUGAGUCAACGCACGCAUGGAUAAAUGAGAGGUCUAUGGAUGGAUGAACCGCCACAUGGAUGGCGGGGAAUGGAAAGAUGGAUAGAGCGGUCCUUCGUUUGCCUAUUCAACAGCCGCCUCCCUCUUCCUCUGCCUUUCUCCAUGCUAAAUGAAUUCCAGUUUUAUUCGGUCUCUUGCACUCAGGGAGGGGGCCCAGCCCUUCCCCAGGCAACACAUCUUGUUUUGAGCUAGGACAUCACGAUAUCUUUUCCCCAGCCAGACACUUGCCUAGGAACAACCCUGGCUCAGGAGACGGGGAGCAAGCCCACUGGGGCCCUGCAAGUGCAACAGCCUCAUUAAAGGAAGCCAAGUAGGGAACAUUCUCUUCUGGUUUCUGACAUGGGUGUGUGAGAUGACACGUGCAGAGAUGUGCAGUCAUCUUGUAACCAUGAGAAAUGUGACAAAGGACAAAUGCCUAACAUCCUUAGUACCACAAAGCAAAUACACAGAAAGA